Molecule: ribosomal RNA, 207 nt
Filed under: uncultured bacterium
Lineage: Bacteria
Description: partial 16S ribosomal RNA
Rfam family: Bacterial small subunit ribosomal RNA
Source: RNAcentral
CGUGUAGGCGGGCAGUCAAGUCAGAUGUGAAAUACCGAGGCUUAACCUCGGAGCUGCAUUUGAAACUGACUAUCUUGAGUGCCGGAGAGGAAAGCGGAAUUCCUAGUGUAGCGGUGAAAUGCGUAGAUAUUAGGAGGAACACCAGUGGCGAAGGCGGCUUUCUGGACGGUAACUGACGCUGAGGCGCGAAAGUGUGGGGAGCAAACA